AUAUCAUAAGCGGAGGAAAAGAAACCAACAGGGAUUGCCCUAGUAACGGCGAGCGAAGCGGCAACAGCUCAAAUUUGAAAUCUGGCUACUUUGUAGUCCGAGUUGUAAUUUGUAGAGGAUGCUUUUGGUGAGGUGCCUUCCGAGUUCCCUGGAACGGGACGCCAGAGAGGGUGAGAGCCCCGUACGGUUGGAUACCAAACCUUUGUAUAGCUCCUUCAACGAGUCGAGUAGUUUGGGAAUGCUGCUCUAAAUGGGAGGUAUAUCUCUUCUAAAGCUAAAUAUAGGCUAGAGACCGAUAGCGCACAAGUAGAGUGAUCGAAAGAUGAAAAGCACUUUGAAAAGAGAGUUAAACAGCACGUGAAAUUGUUGAAAGGGAAGCGCCUAUGACCAGACUUGUUUCUUUCAGUUUUGUUAGUUCUCGGACUGAUUUACUCUGUUAGUACAGGCCAGCAUCAGUUUGUUGUCGGGGAGAAAGGCUUAGGGAAUGUGGCUCCUUCGGGAGUGUUAUAGCCCUUUGCAUAAUACCCUUCGGCAGACUGAGGACCGCGCUUCGGCAAGGAUGCUGGCGUAAUGGUCAUCAGCGACCCGUCUUGAAACACGGACCAAGGAGUCAACCUUAUGUGCGAGUGUUUGGGUGUAAAACCCCAGCGCGUAAUGAACGUGAACGUAGGUGAGAGCUUCGGCGCAUCAUCGACCGAUUCUGAUGUUCUCGGAUGGAUUUGAGUAAGAGCACACAGGGUUGGACCCGAAAGAAGGUGAACUAUGCUUGUAUAGGGUGAAGCCAGAGGAAACUCUGGUGGAGGCUCGCAGCGGUUCUGACGUGCAAAUCGAUCGUCAAAUAUGAGCAUGGGGGCGAAAGACUAAUCGAACCUUCUAGUAGCUGGUU
RNAcentral lists this ribosomal RNA (886 nucleotides) under Chalaropsis thielavioides. Its description in RNAcentral is "partial large subunit ribosomal RNA". It matches the Rfam family "Eukaryotic large subunit ribosomal RNA", at positions 40 to 956 of the family's 3401-position model. Lineage: Eukaryota; Fungi; Ascomycota; Sordariomycetes; Microascales; Ceratocystidaceae. The record is from RNAcentral.